RNAcentral lists this long non-coding RNA (737 nucleotides) under Salmo salar (Atlantic salmon). RNAcentral describes it as "lncRNA (ENSSSAG00000098799.1)". The record is from RNAcentral. Lineage: Eukaryota; Metazoa; Chordata; Actinopteri; Salmoniformes; Salmonidae.
CAACAAUGUUAUUCUUAGAAUCACAGAAGUUUGAACAAAUGUAUAUAUGAAAACUUUAUAUAAAAAUACAAUCAUAGGCCUAUGGGCUAAACAAAUCAAAUGCCUAGGCCAAACAAAUCAAAUCUAUGCCUAUAUUUUUUCUUAUAUUAUUUCAUUCAAAACAGUGUUCUAUUUCAGACGCUAAAAUGAAGCACGGUGUCGAGCCCGUGCUUGUUGAUGUGUUGCGCGGUCAUUUGAUUACUUUGGCAUGCCUUCACAUCAAAGUGCCUCUACUGUAGACUAGAUCUAAUGAAUUUAAUCCAUUGAAUGAAAAAUAUUCCAUAAAUACCGACAACAAUUCUCACACCUUUUCUGAUCAAGGAAGAAGAUUAUUGGAGUUUAAGGUGCAGAUACAGUCCAAAAUUAAGGUUGCCUACAACAGGGUUUCCCCAACUCCCCUUUGAUUCUUUGAAUCAGCUAUGUAGUGCUACUGCAAAAACCAAAAUGUGCACCAAGGGAGGACCCCAGGACUGAAAACCCUGGUCUGUUGGACACCUGGGUCCACAGGAUGAAUAGCCAAGCAGGCAGUGAUGUGGAACCUGGAGGAUGGGCCAUACCAGGCGGCCCUGCGCCACAGCACCGCAGCCUUCAGGUUAUGUUACAUUGAUAAUGUCACAGCUUCAGGAGCGCCACAGCCCACAGUACAGGACAAAGCUCGGAAUCCAAUUAUCCUCCCUAUAAUUUGUGGGAAUUUUACG